UAAAUCCUGCUGAGGUAUAUACAACUCUACAAGCUGGUUCUCAAAUCCUUUUUUUGGAACGAGACUGAAGGAUUUCUGCAUAAAUAAUCAUAGUGGAAUUUUCAAGAUAUUUCAACGGUCUGUGGUGGCCAAAUAUGUGGAAUUGAGGCUGUUCCAGUAAAUCUGGAAUGAAUUGACACUCUAUCCACAGAGUAUGAAACUGUGUGUAGAGUAUGCAUGUGCGCGCGCGUGCACACACACACACAUACACACACACACACACACACAGGAAGAAUUCUUUUCUUGUCCAGACACUGGCAUUGGCAGUGAAACCAUCCAUUCCAAACCAAAGGAGCCCCCUCACCAAUGGCCUUGCCGCCCAGGAACCCUGCAGGGCAGAAGUUGGGGAGGGGAUAGCAGUCUGAAUAGCGGUCUUGGAUGGCUGGAAGCUGGCACCUGUGAACAAGCACCCAUGAUGGUGAUGCAUCCGGAACCAGGCUGCCCAGCCAACCAGUGCUUUCCCACCGGAGCUUUUGCUCUGGGCUCCUCUGCCGUUGAUUUCCCAGGUCCCGCCUUGCAUUUUCUCCCUCAUCUUCACAUGUGGGGAGCCCCUGACCGGCUGCUGAAGACCCCCAGACAAGCCUUCAGCUUCCAGAUCAUGGAAGGCAGCAUGGGGAGGCAGGAGACCCCUGGGAGGGCGGAGCAUGACUUUUGUCCAGGAGGCUGGACUACCGACUUCAGCAGGCUCUGGUUGGCUCUGGAGGACAUCCCUCAAGAAGUGCUGGCAGAUGUUAGAUUCCCGCCACCUGGAGGCCUGACCUCACCUGAGGGCAUCCCUGCCUGUCCAUGUCUUUUGACUGGGUGGGCAGCCCUGCCUACCUCUCUGCAGCUUCAAACACCAGCCGCUUCCACUCAGAGACACUCAAAAUGUGUCGAGGGAGGUUGUCCUCUGGACUCCUGGGAAUUGACCACCAGCAUGCGCUGCUCCGCUGACAAGGGAAAGGGCCCUCUGGCCCGCACAGCAUGGAUAUGGGCAGAACGGUUUUUCCUAACUAGGCCUUCUGGGUUGCAGCAGAACAGCAUGUGUCUGCUUCUCAAAUGUAACAGGACAAGAUGUUCAGGUCUUGUGUCCUCUGUGAAGCAGGGCUGCAAGGACCCCUUACCAAGGAGAAGAUUGUCUCUGGAAACUGCGAAAUCUGACCAGAAGGCCCUUAGCCUCCCAGGCUCUGUAGCUUCUGCAGUGAUGAGGCCUGGCCACCAGAUGGCUCCACAGAGGCCACUGCUCUCUCAGGGAAGAGGAGGUUGCAGAGAAACAGGAGGGAAGCAGGUCUCCAUGGUCCCUUGGCCCGCACUCUCUGCUUUACAGGAGUUGCUACCUGGUUGAGCAAGGCCCCGGACUGUAACAGCUGCUGGAUUUCUCUAGACCUCAGUUUCCAACAUUUGCAGAAAGGGGCAAGUC
RNAcentral lists this long non-coding RNA (1438 nucleotides) under Bos grunniens (domestic yak). RNAcentral describes it as "lncRNA (ENSBGRG00000024141.1)". Lineage: Eukaryota; Metazoa; Chordata; Mammalia; Artiodactyla; Bovidae. The record is from RNAcentral.